Molecule: ribosomal RNA, 445 nt
Filed under: Lacticaseibacillus rhamnosus
Lineage: Bacteria; Bacillati; Bacillota; Bacilli; Lactobacillales; Lactobacillaceae
Description: bacterial SSU rRNA
Rfam family: Bacterial small subunit ribosomal RNA
Source: RNAcentral
UGAACGAGUGGCGGACGGGUGNGUAACACGNGGGUAACCUGCCCUUAAGUGGGGGAUAACAUUUGGAAACAGAUGCUANUACCGCAUAAAUCCAAGAACCGCAUGGNUCUUGGCUGAAAGAUGGCGUAAGCUAUCGCUUUUGGAUGGACCCGCGGCGUAUUAGCUAGUUGGUGAGGUAACGGCUCACCAAGGCAAUGAUACGUAGCCGAACUGAGAGGUUGAUCGGCCACAUUGGGACUGAGACACGGCCCAAACUCCUACGGGAGGCAGCAGUAGGGAAUCUUCCACAAUGGACGCAAGUCUGAUGGAGCAACGCCGCGUGAGUGAAGAAGGCUUUCGGGUCGUAAAACUCUGUUGUUGGAGAAGAAUGGUCGGCAGAGUAACUGUUGUCGGCGUGACGGUAUCCAACCANAAAGCCACGGCUAACUACGGGCCAGCAGCCGCG